CCAUUACAUGGGACCAAUCACACAUAUAUAACACACUUCCAUAGAAUUCAAUGUUACGGCUCAAUCAUUCAUAAUUUAAUUAGUAACAGAAAUUUCAACACAUAUUUUCAACAAUUAAAACAACUAAACAAAUACGACAUUAUAUAACUAUAUUGAUCAUAUAAGAUUUCUUACGCACAUCUGCCCUCACAUGAUCAACCUGCCAGUUCAAAUCCUAUAUACUCACCUGCAGUCCUGCUACAACAUGGAUUUGUAUUCCUCGAAAUCCUUGGUUACCUAUUAACCAAAUCCAUAUAAAUCAUCAAUAUUGAGACAUAUCGUCUUUUCUAAUUUUACUUUGCCUAAUAGUUCCCAAGCCAGUUCUUUUCACUUCCUUAUCAUUAUUUCAUCAUUACCUUACAAAAUAGUAACUUUUCUUAAACUUUUUAUGUUAUAUAACAUGACACAAAAACUAUCUCCAAAUCUUACCAAGUUUUAAUAUAUGCUUUAUAGCUGAGCCCAGAUACUAACAAAUUAAUAUGGACCCAAACAACCACCUUUUUCUUGACCUAAAAUAUUUUUAUAUAACUAUUAAUCAAACUAGAAAACUAAGAAAUAGUACCUUGAUGUAGCCCAAGGGUUAUUUUUCUUGCAUAGUAAAGAACCCAGUAUUAUUUAUCGAGAUUGGUCAAGUGGUAUUGAGUUAUAUUGAAUAUUGCAGAAAAAAGUGAAGAAAAAAAAAUCAGUAGAUAAGUAUGAGAAGAGGUGAGAAGAGUUGGCUCCUCGAUGUCAAUGUAAGGCCGAUGAAUUGCUAUCAAGUUUGGAUGACACCUUCAAGUUCAGCUCGGUUAUAUAUAUGAUCUUGCAGCAUUUGGUUCCCAGACCAGAAUUGGAGCAGAUUAAGCAAGAGAUGCAAGAUAAGGACUCGAUUGCAGGACAUGGAAAGGUAUCAAGAAGCAAUGGAUAGUAUUUUAUAAGGUUAAUAAUACGAGUUUGACUAGAACCGCUACCAUGAAGGCAAUAGCCAAAACUCAAAAAGAGUGCAGUGAAAGCGACUCAACGGGUGCAAGUCCCGGUCUCCGAAGGGUGCCCUGACCUUGGUGUGGGAGAAGUUCGAAUCAACAACAAGAAGUGAUGAUGGAAGUUACACUUAUAAUAUUUCUGAAGUACAAAGCCUAAAUUACAAGGCCUGCUUCAUUUAAAUUUAAUUUUGAUAGUUGUUGGACUAUGUAACUGUAUACAUGGAUGGUUUGUAACACACUUCAAAGGUUAUCUAAUGUUAUUUCAUUCCAAAAUUUGUUUUA
Molecule: long non-coding RNA, 1283 nt
Organism: Erigeron canadensis
Lineage: Eukaryota; Viridiplantae; Streptophyta; Magnoliopsida; Asterales; Asteraceae
Exons: 3
Source: RefSeq, a predicted model, not a curated record